GAAGGAAUGGGCGCGUGGAUCGUAGCCUGAAAGACGAGUGUGAUACGGUGAAAGGAUGGAGGCUGUGCAAUGGGAGAAUAACUGGGGCUGAGAAGAAAGCCAAGGUCAUUGCAGGAAUGAAUGCUGUGGAAGAAAACCAGGGGCCCGGGGAGUCUCAGAAGGUGGAGGAGGCCAGCCCUCCUGCUGUGCAGCAGCCCACUGACCCCGCAUCCCCCACUGUGGCUACCACGCCUGAGCCCGUGGGGUCCGAUGCCGGGGACAAGAAUGCCACCAAAGCAGGCGAUGACGAGCCAGAGUACGAGGACGGCCGGGGCUUUGGCAUUGGGGAGCUGGUGUGGGGGAAACUGCGGGGCUUCUCCUGGUGGCCAGGCCGCAUUGUGUCUUGGUGGAUGACGGGCCGGAGCCGAGCAGCUGAAGGCACCCGCUGGGUCAUGUGGUUCGGAGACGGCAAAUUCUCAGUGGUGUGUGUUGAGAAGCUGAUGCCGCUGAGCUCGUUUUGCAGUGCGUUCCACCAGGCCACGUACAACAAGCAGCCCAUGUACCGCAAAGCCAUCUACGAGGUCCUGCAGGUGGCCAGCAGCCGCGCAGG
This 589-nucleotide small RNA is filed under the name Pongo abelii (Sumatran orangutan). Its description in RNAcentral is "processed transcript". The record is from RNAcentral. Lineage: Eukaryota; Metazoa; Chordata; Mammalia; Primates; Hominidae.